ACGCAUGCACGCACGCACACACACACACACACACGGAGCUACCUGCCCUCUGGUUGUGAUUUGUAAGACUUGCAAGCAACACAGAAGCUCCAGCAAUUUCCUUUCCUCUUCGGACUGAGCCACAAGAAAGGCAAAGCUGCACCGAGGAGGUCUCCAGCUCUGUCUCUGAAGAUGACAUGAUGGUCUUAUCAAGUAGUGGCCUUAUCAAGGGGAAGCAUCUCCUGACUGGCUCUGCUCUGUGACUGUCUGCUUGUGACUGACAGCUGGGCUGGAGUGUUCAGACACAGAGAAAGCUGUGGAGUUGAUGUGCCUUGUUCCUAAACGCUGUAAUGACAUGAUGAACCUGGGCCGUCUUCAGGGCUUUGAGGGCAAGCUGGCAGCCCAAGGAAAGUUGCUGCAGCAGGAUACGUUCUAUGUAACGGAACAGGAUUCUGAAGUUCUCUCUCGGCCGAAGUAACACAGAGUUUUCCUCUUUGAGCAAAUAGUCAUCUUUAGUGAGCUUCCUAGGAAAGGCUCUCCGACACCUGGGUACCUGUUUAAGAGAAGCAUACAGUUGCAUUGGGCCAGUGGCCACUUCUUUCCCUUCAAGAUCCAUUCCUUUGGACUUCUCCUGUGCUCAUCCUUCUUCUCACCCACAUUUAUUUAUUUAUGUAUUGGCUAUUGUAAAUUAUAAAUUGUAUUGUUUUUAUUGAGGUAUUUUGAUGUAUUGAUGUAUUUUAUUGAUGUAUUUUUAUAUUUGUGUUUUUUGUAAGCCGCCUUGAGGGCCUUUUGGCCAAAAGGCAGGAUAGAAAUAAACAACAACAACAACAAUAAUAUCCCCUAUGCUGAGCCGGGGAUAUUGGCAUUUCCAGAAGCCCCUUCCACACCAGCCAUGGAGCCAUGUCUUGGAGGCCACCAUCUUUUGCAACUUGUCUCCAGAUAAAUGUUUCUGGUAUCUCUGAUGGAGCCAUAUGGACUCCAGCACACCACUUUCAGAGGACUGCCUCUUUCUUAACAUCUGGAUGCCAUGUCCAUGACCCUCUGUCCUCCUGCCCUUGUUUGGAUCCAUGGUGGAGGAUUUUUGUCUGGUGCAGGCUCCCUGGAGGUGUCCCAUGGAGCAUUCUUAGCUGCUACAGAGAAUAAUAAUAAUAAUAAUAAAAUUUUAUUUUUAGGCCGCCUAUCUGGCCGAAUGAAUGGCCACUCUAGGCGGCGUACAUAAUUAAAAAUACAACAUACAAUACAGUUUUAACAUAUAAUAUAAUUAUAAUCCACCAACUUACAUCUAUACACUGUAAGCUAAAACUAUCUAGGAGACCUGUAUGCCCGCUGAAACAACCAAGUUUUUAAUCCUUGGCGGAAACCUACCAGGGAGGGGGCAUGGUGAAGGUCGUAUGGCAGAGAAUUCCAGAGGGUGGGGGCCACAACUGAGAAUGCCCUCUCUCUGGUCCGCACCAGCCUAGCUGUCUUAACUGGUGGGACCGAGAGAAUGUCAUUGUGGCCUCCAUUAAUUACUGCUUAGGGAUCUGGGGCUUUCUGUACUUCCCAGCAGAUGCCCCAGGAGACAUUGGGUUGUGGAAUCAGCAGCUGGCUCUGAAGUGGGUGAAGGAAAAUGCUGAUCUCUUUGGUGGGGAUCCAGCUCAGCUGACUCUCCUUGGCCAAAGUGCUAGAGCAGCCUCAGUGGAUUUGCAUCUCCUCUCACCAGCAAGUCAUUCACUUGCCCACCAGUAUGAUUUUCUGACAACUCAUGUUUUUGGGUCCUUUGGGUAAAAGAGAAUGUAUAAAUAUUUGCAGUUAAGUGGAUUAUGAUUGACACCUGACCUAGUCCAGGGAUGGGAAAACAUAUGGCCCUCCAGAUCUUGGGCUCCAAUCCCAUCAUUCCUGAUCAUUAACCAUGCUGGCUGGAGCUGAUGGGAGAUGGAGUCCAACAACAUCUGGAUGGCCACAGAUUCCCAUUCCUGUCCUGGAGUUUAGAUCAAAAUUAGCAGUGAGGAGGGAUAUCAUCAAAAUGUGGCAUCUGUUCUGUCAGCCUAGAGAGUUCUGGGUUCAACAUUCCCAGUAUUUUAAGUGCCUGUGUGAAAAAAGGAAGCACUGCUAAAUAAGGACCAUCUGUACACUUGACUGGUAUAACAAUUUUUCUUGGUGGAUGUAAAGCUUUGGCUUCAUAACCUCGGGAGCUGAGGCCCAUUUCACAGAUUACAAGGCAGCCAAUUUAGGUCCAGACCAAUUGUAAACUUCACAGGCAGUCACAGCUAAUCCUUGAAGAGUGUAGCUAUGUGAUACAUGUGUUUGCAAAUACGUUUGCUGCUAUUACUGUUUAUCUGUGAAUGUAAAACAUCCUAGGUGUGUACAUUUUAAAAAAAUGUAGUUUCUAAAAACAUCCUGAUUCUCCAGAAGUCAGUACCAUUAUUUGUUGUAAACUGUCCAGAGAGCUUCGGCUAUGGGGCAGUAUACAAAUGCAAUAAAUAAAUAAAUAAAUAAAUAAACAAAUAAUUCCACAA
This is a long non-coding RNA of Rhineura floridana, 2477 nucleotides long. RefSeq lists it as uncharacterized. NCBI's taxonomy places the organism in Eukaryota, Metazoa, Chordata, Lepidosauria, Squamata, Rhineuridae. The transcript is spliced from 2 exons. The record is from RefSeq and is a predicted model, not a curated record.